AUGCUUCCUGUUGGAUAUUCCACUACAUACUUGAUCAAGUUCUAUUAUUAUUAUUAUUAUUAUUAUUAUUAUCCAAAUGACUGAUUCACGAAAUAAAGGCUUUUUUUCCUGAUAAGUAGGUCAAUCUUGGCCUUUUUUCUUGGAUUUCUAUGGCCAUUCCUUGUGGAUAUAAUUUCAUGAUUGACCUUUAUGAGAAAAAUGUAGGGUUGCAUACCAAUGAGAAAAGUGACAAGGUGGAGCAUAUCCAAAGAAGGUCAAGUUUGCUUAUUCGUAUUUAUUGAACCUCGGUUUUCUGGUUCUACUUCUCCACGAAACCCCAAAAAACAAACAAACAAAAAAAAAGAUCUGGUGGUUCAACUACAUACCUGGUGGAAUGUUGUCUAGACUUUGCUAGUUUUGCAAUUGACCAUGCCGACUUUGAAUGUUGGCAACGCUGGGCAAAUAGCUGCUCUAGUAGAUCCUAAGUAGGAUAGAUAAAGACUGGUACUAAGUUGGAGCUGCAGUAUAUAAUUCUCUAAGGAACUGAUGAAGUCUCAUAGAUGUUCAGCCUAAUCUACAUGCUCAUCCUACACCAGAAAAUGCAUGCUGGGAUAGUAUUCCAUAUUCUUCUUUGGUUCCACCCAGACCUUUCCUGUUCUAGCUCCUUGGUGGUUCUUAGCAUGACCAAUCUGAGACCCAAAAGGUUUAGACAAUACGCCAUAACUGGGAUGCUGGGCAAUCCCAGCCUCUUCCCUAUGUGGGUAGCUUUUGCUGCAGAUUUGCAAUCCUUGUUCAGAAGAUUGUCUUGUCAAACAGGUUUCAUAAGCCACUACGAAGAGUUAAACCAUCUUAUAUGGUGCUUUUUUGGAGAUCCGUUUUCAGCGCUAGGAUGAGAGAUUUCUGACCAUAUCCUGCAAGUAAGCAGAGAGUUGUAGCAAGAUUCACAGUGAAGACCCUAUUGCUCUGUAUUGUCCAAUUUAGCCUGUCUGCUUUGAGGUGAGACCGUGAAAGCCAGUAAAUUGAGAAACUAUACUAUCCUUUUCAAUUCCCAAUAACUCCUGAAGACAAUGUUCCUGCCAUAUUUACUUCUGCAAUAUCCAACUCUAUUUCUGUAUUCUGGAAAACGGUCAAAGGAUCAAUGAAUCGUUGUUUGAGCUCCAGUUAUCAUGCGAGAAGGUAUCCUGCAGCAUCACUUGCCUUGCAGCAGAUUCUGUCAACUAAACCAUUCCAAUUUCCUUGAUAUGUUUCCUGUUUCCAUACCCCUAACUGAUGAGGAGUUGUCACGCCAAGCAUUCUGCAUCCCAUACUUUUCUUUCAUUACUUUCUUCAUUAGGGCCUAUUUAAAGACUCAUCUCCCGAAAACCACUUUCUUGGAGCCUUGGGCUAUUCCUUCUCAUUGGCUGUGACAGAGCUCCACCUCUCCAGCUGAUACGCCCUCUUGUUCCUUAGUAGAACCAGAUAUCUCCUAUGGUUAACCCGUCUCCUCUAUUCUUUGCUGGCAUAAGGAACAA
Long non-coding RNA from Nicotiana attenuata, 1490 nucleotides. RefSeq lists it as uncharacterized. NCBI's taxonomy places the organism in Eukaryota, Viridiplantae, Streptophyta, Magnoliopsida, Solanales, Solanaceae. The record is from RefSeq and is a predicted model, not a curated record. The transcript is spliced from 2 exons.